GCCUAGCUGGCUCAGACGGUAGAGUAUGUGAUUCUUGAUCUCAGAGUUGUAAGUUCGAGUCCCAUGUUGGGUA
RNAcentral lists this transfer RNA (73 nucleotides) under Canis lupus familiaris (dog). It matches the Rfam family "tRNA". From Rfam's summary of the family: Transfer RNA (tRNA) molecules are approximately 80 nucleotides in length. Their secondary structure includes four short double-helical elements and three loops (D, anti-codon, and T loops). RNAcentral also lists the same sequence under 1 other name. Lineage: Eukaryota; Metazoa; Chordata; Mammalia; Carnivora; Canidae. The record is from Rfam by way of RNAcentral.